GUUCAAAUAGUUUAAAAAAAAAUUUAGGUUUGUGGUACCUAGGAUGUAACAUGUUACUUUGGACA
Molecule: transfer RNA, 65 nt
Filed under: Octomeris sp. BKKC-2014
Lineage: Eukaryota; Metazoa; Arthropoda; Thecostraca; Balanomorpha; Chthamalidae
Description: tRNA-His
Source: RNAcentral